Small nucleolar RNA from Ornithorhynchus anatinus (platypus), 138 nucleotides. Lineage: Eukaryota; Metazoa; Chordata; Mammalia; Monotremata; Ornithorhynchidae. The record is from RefSeq and is a predicted model, not a curated record.
CCCCACCCAGGGUCACACCUGGAGAGUUUACAGUACUCUGCCAGUUUCGACUAUGGGAGGGAGAGUCAAGCAGAGGCCUAUCCAUUUCAAUCCUAGCUUGGGCAGUGGGUAGAGAGUGGAAGGCAAUCUGCUACCAGU